RNAcentral lists this ribosomal RNA (783 nucleotides) under uncultured Alphaproteobacteria bacterium. Its description in RNAcentral is "bacterial SSU rRNA". It matches the Rfam family "Bacterial small subunit ribosomal RNA", at positions 9 to 873 of the family's 1533-position model. The record is from RNAcentral. Lineage: Bacteria; Pseudomonadati; Pseudomonadota; Alphaproteobacteria.
AGAGUUUGAUCAUGGCUCAGAACGAACGCUGGCUGGCAGGCCUAACACAUGCAAGUCGAGCGAGACCUUGGGUCUAGCGGCGGACGGGUGAGUAACGCGUGGGAACGUACCCUUUGCUACGGAAUAGCCCCGGGGAAACUGGGAGUAAUACCGUAUGUGCCCUUCGGGGGAAAGAUUUAUCGGCAAAGGAUCGGCCCGCUGUUGGAUUAGGUAGUUGGUGGGGUAAUGGCCUACCAAGCCGACGAGUCCAUAGCUGGUUUGAGAGGAUGAUCAGCCACACUGGGACUGAGACACGGCCCAGACUCCUACGGGAGGCAGCAGUGGGGAAUCUUAGACAAUGGGGGCAACCCUGAUCUAGCCAUGCCGCGUGAGUGAUGAAGGCCCUAGGGUUGUAAAGCUCUUUCAGCUGGGAAGAUAAUGACGGUACCAGCAGAAGAAGCCCCGGCUAACUCGUGCCAGCAGCCGCGGUAAUACGGAGGGGGCUAGCGUUGUUCGGAAUUACUGGGCGUAAAGCGCGCGUAGGCGGAUUGGAAGUUGGAGGUGAAAUCCCAGGGCUCACCUUGGAACUGCCUCAAAACUAUCAGUCUGGAGUUCGAGAGAGGUGAGUGGAAUUCNNAGUGUAAAGGUGAAAUUCGUAGAUAUUCGGAGGAACCCAGUGGCNAANGCGGNUACUGCUCGAUCCGACGCUUAGGUGCAAACCUGGGGAGCAACAGAUUAAUCCCUGGAGNCACCCGNACNANAAUGCAANGUUGGNACAUGCUGUCGGGGNCNCUACGAAUACAU